GACGUAGGGCGCGAGCGUUGUCCGGAUUUAUUGGGCGUAAAGAGCUCGUAGGCGGUUUGUCGCGUCUGCCGUGAAAGUCCGGGGCUCAACUCCGGAUCUGCGGUGGGUACGGGCAGACUAGAGUGAUGUAGGGGAGACUGGAAUUCCUGGUAUAGCGGUGAAAUGCGCAGAUAUCAGGAGGAACACCGAUGGCGAAGGCAGGUCUCUGGGCAUUAACUGACGCUGAGGAGCGAAAGCAUGGGGAGCGAACAGG
Molecule: ribosomal RNA, 253 nt
Filed under: uncultured bacterium
Lineage: Bacteria
Description: partial 16S ribosomal RNA
Rfam family: Bacterial small subunit ribosomal RNA
Source: RNAcentral